CAGACAGCAAUCUGCUGGCAUCCUGAUCUUGGGCUUUCCAGCUUCAAGAACUGUGAGAAUUUUUUGGAUCCAGAACUCAUUGUUCAGUAUGAGUUUUGAUACAUAUAAGAAGGAAUAUG
Molecule: small nucleolar RNA, 119 nt
Filed under: Castor canadensis (American beaver)
Lineage: Eukaryota; Metazoa; Chordata; Mammalia; Rodentia; Castoridae
Description: Small nucleolar RNA SNORA40 (ENSCCNG00000002173.1)
Source: Rfam by way of RNAcentral